Long non-coding RNA from Nerophis ophidion (straightnose pipefish), 834 nucleotides. RefSeq lists it as uncharacterized. NCBI's taxonomy places the organism in Eukaryota, Metazoa, Chordata, Actinopteri, Syngnathiformes, Syngnathidae. The record is from RefSeq and is a predicted model, not a curated record. The transcript is spliced from 4 exons.
UGCACACUUCCUAACUGUGUCACAGGAAAACUAAGUCCCUUUCAACUUGCCAAAGUAAGCACCCAAAAGGGUUUAUUUACUCCUACUCGUCAAUGGCGCCAAUGAGUUCUCACGGCAUGCUCAACAUCCCCUGCCUGUUGGGAAAAGGAACAUUUGGUUUGGUACUUUUGACUGGUGGAAGUAAGACUACGAGUUCAGUAAUUAUGUUUUGGUGAGAUUAUAUGGUCUUACCUGUACAACCUGAAAGUCGGAGGGGUGUGGCCAUGGGUGUGGUGACCGCCAGUGUCUCCGGUGGGAGGAGGCAAGAGAGUCCGCAGCUGCAGGAUGACGCAAGCUCUCCGCUCAUGUCUACGGCUUGACAGCGGACUCUUUGGUAGCGAUGCUGAAAAGACGACGUGCUGAUGAAGACGCGCUGCUUCACGCUGCGAUGAAACCUGCAGACAGCAGCAACUCAACAUGGCAUCCAUGUUCUCAACCCUCAGAAUGUUGGGGACUCUUCUCCUUGUAUGUUUUUUUUUUUUUGCUCAAAUGUUUGGCCAACACUUUGAUUGUGUUACUUCAGUUGGACUUUUUUUCUCUAAGGAGUGUUUUUAUGUUUAAUUUGAAUGUUUUCAUUUCAAAUACUGGGAAUUUGUUUAAAGCCAUAGAGUAGCUAGUCCUUAAGAGUUUUGGAUUCAUAAUUGUUCUACUUUUUUUUUUCCCCUCAAAUCUCUUAUUUAAAUUUAGUCCUAAAAUAUAGCAAACAAGCCAUGUUUUUAUUUUAUAUUUUCUUUUUAUUUUAACCAUUUGUAUGCCCUUUCGAUUCAACUGUCUUUUUUUUUUAUUUAUUAGAAA